RNAcentral lists this ribosomal RNA (254 nucleotides) under uncultured bacterium. Its description in RNAcentral is "partial 16S ribosomal RNA". It matches the Rfam family "Bacterial small subunit ribosomal RNA", at positions 524 to 776 of the family's 1533-position model. The record is from RNAcentral.
UACGUAGGGGGGCAAGCGUUGUCCGGAAUCAUUGGGCGUAAAGAGCGCGUAGGCGGCCCUGUAAGUCCGCUGUGAAAGUCAAGGGCUCAACCCUUGGAUGCCGGUGGAUACUGCAGGGCUAGAGUUCGGAAGAGGCGAGUGGAAUUCCUGGUGUAGCGGUGAAAUGCGCAGAUAUCAGGAGGAACACCGGUGGCGAAGGCGGUUCUCUGGGCAUUACCUGACGCUGAGGAGCGAAAGUGUGGGGAGCAAACAGG